RNAcentral lists this unclassified non-coding RNA (360 nucleotides) under soil metagenome. Its description in RNAcentral is "partial contains 5.8S ribosomal RNA, internal transcribed spacer 2, and large subunit ribosomal RNA". The stretch from base 1 to 120 matches the Rfam family "5.8S ribosomal RNA", at positions 35 to 154 of the family's 154-position model. The record is from RNAcentral.
GAUGAAGAACGCAGCGAAAUGCGAUACGUAAUGUGAAUUGCAGAAUUCAGUGAAUCAUCGAGUCUUUGAACGCACAUUGCGCCCGCCAGUAUUCUGGCGGGCAUGCCUGUUCGAGCGUCAUUUCAACCCUCAAGACCCCUUCGGGGGACUUGGUGUUGGGGACCGGCAUAGGGGCCUUGCGCCCCUCGCCGCCCCCGAAAUGAAUUGGCGGCCUCGUCGCGGCCUCCCCUGCGUAGUAGCACAACCUCGCAACGGGAACGUGACGGCGGCCACUGCCGUAAAACAACCCAAUUUUAUUAGAGUUGACCUCGAAUCAGGUAGGAAUACCCGCUGAACUUAAGCAUAUCAAUAAGCGGAGGA